UACGUAGGCAGCAAGCGUUGUUCGGAGUUACUGGGCGUAAAGGGUGUGUAGGCGGUUGUUUAAGUUUGGUGUGAAAUCUCCCGGCUCAACUGGGAGGGUGCGCCGAAUACUGAAUGACUAGAGUGCGGGAGAGGAAAGUGGAAUUCCUGGUGUAGACGGUGAAAUGCGUAGAUAUCAGGAGGAACACCGGUGGUGUAGACGGCUUUCUGGACCGUAACUGACGCUGAGACACGAAAGCGUGGGUAGCAAACAGG
Molecule: ribosomal RNA, 254 nt
Filed under: uncultured bacterium
Lineage: Bacteria
Description: partial 16S ribosomal RNA
Rfam family: Bacterial small subunit ribosomal RNA
Source: RNAcentral